AAUUUCUGGUACGAUGCGCCUGAUCCUCACCUGAAAGGGUGCGUGUAUCGGAGAGUAUCUGCCAUCCUUCUAGUUGCUGGCUGUACUUAAUUGUGUGGUCAGUGUUCUAGAUCAUUUACUUUGAAAAAAUUAGAGUGUUUAAAGCAGGCUUGCGCUAUGAAUACAUUAGCAUGGAAUAAUAAUUUAGGACUUUGCUCCUAUUUUAUUGGUUUCUAGGGGUGAAGUAAUGAUUGAUAGGGAUAGUUGGGGGUGCUAGUAUUCAUCGGCCAGAGGUGAAAUUCUUGGAUUCGAUGAAGACUAACUUAUGCGAAAGCAUU
Molecule: ribosomal RNA, 317 nt
Filed under: uncultured Paracercomonas
Lineage: Eukaryota; Cercozoa; Cercomonadida; Cercomonadidae
Description: SSU rRNA
Rfam family: Eukaryotic small subunit ribosomal RNA
Source: RNAcentral